This is a long non-coding RNA of Hippocampus zosterae (dwarf seahorse), 2064 nucleotides long. RefSeq lists it as uncharacterized. The record is from RefSeq and is a predicted model, not a curated record. The transcript has 2 exons. Lineage: Eukaryota; Metazoa; Chordata; Actinopteri; Syngnathiformes; Syngnathidae.
CAAUGCUGUAAAAAUGCAAUGUUUAUCAUUCCGGGACCCAACCGUAAUAUGUGAAAAUCGAUAUGGAAUGUUUCUGUUCUUUUAACUCUCGCACAUGCUUGAAACACAUUAAAACUUACUGAAAAUGUAAAAAAAAAAAGGCAUAAAAUGCAGAGAAAAUGUACUCUAGCGCUGAUUCGUGUUGUGUGCUGCAAAUGCCUGUCAUUGCCAGUGAAGCUCAAAUUUGGUCCCACUCUUUUCAGACCGAAACCAGUUGGGAGUAUCCACUCUUGAGUACGUACCGAGACUGAUUACCAAUAUCACUUGUACUUUGGCGACAUAAAUUUUGAAAAUUAACGUACUUAAUGAUGGACAAAGACCUUUCUGUCUUUAUGAAUCAGGUGAUGAUUCUCCGAUGUCUCAAAUGGCUGCAGUGUAGCUACAAUUACCAACAAGUGAGACAUGUUCAAUAUCUUUUUUUUUUGCCUUAGGUAUCUGUCGUCCUUCAGAAGUACCAAUAUUUUGUAAUAAGGCCAGUAUUUACCCGAUAAUGAUGCAUAGUAUCGGCACGCGCCCAUUUCUAGCCCAGGGUAUUGAGUUCCAGUUGGCUGUUUUGUUGCGAGAGAACAAAAAGUAAGUCUGUCCUUCCCAUAUGCACACAUGCAGAAGUUUUACCUUGGAAUGGUCAGGAUCGUCCUCUGGCAAGAAACGAAACUAAAAUUGUUCCAUCCAUGAAUGUGUGAUGUUAGCAGUGGUUAAUGACAGCCACAGAGAACGAAAAUUCCAUGCAACUGCUCCAAAAUGUUUUAUUCUCAUGGACACGAAAACCCCCCCACAAAAACUGAUUGCCAUAAAAAGUAAACACCCAUGAUAUCACCUCGAUUUCUGCAACAAACAAUACUUGCUCCAAAACUCCGCAAUAUAGAACUGGGCAGUGAUAGGUAAGCCGCUCCACAAUGAGGACAUACCGUUCAUCCGGCCAGCCUCAUGCAGCCGCUCGUGCGUCCGAAGCGGCGUGUUUGAAACCACGUUGCUCAUCUCCGACACGAAGCUGCUUAUCACUUGAAUAAUUUAGCGGCGGAAUUUAUGGCUUUAAUUCCUCACGCAGCGGAAUAUACCGGCAAUAGAUUGUCUUUAUAUGCCGCCUGAACUAUGCUACAGGGAGCCCUCGCUGUCAGGCUGUUAUAUUGUGACUAAUAUCUCUGUUAUGUCUCUGGAACAAGAAAAGCUUGUCCCUUGUGUGCAUGCGGUGGCGCCCGUUCGCCGGAUUGUCCUCGCACUGAUAUGAUUGCGUCUCAGAUAACAUGUAGCGCGCCUGCAGAGGACACCAAAUGGUCAGGCAAGCCUCCCGUGUUGCUCUCCAGCUGCGAGAUAAACCCUCAAAUUCGAUUUGCUGCCGUCUGACACUGUUGACCCGCCGUGUUGACCCCUCCCAGCUCAGCUACAGAUACGAUGCAGACUUAAAAACUUGGCGAUUAAUGUAUGUAAUUGGUUUCUUUUGACUUGACUGACUUGUUAAUGGGAUCUUUUUAUUCAUUGCAAUCUGCUUUUUUCAAAGCUUCUACUGUAACAUGACAAUGGGACUUAACAAAAAAUAGCCAUCAUAACGACAGUAUUUACCUUAUUUUCCGGACUAUAGGGCGCAGUUUUUUUUCAUAGUUUGGCUGGGGGCGACUUAUACCCUGGAGUUAAUAAUUUAUUGUUGACAUUAUUAACACAACAAUAAAUAAAUAUAAAAUAAUAAAAUAAUACAUAAAAUAAUAAAAUAAUAAAAUUUAUUGUUGACAUUAUUAACACAGGGCGGCCUGGUAGUCCAGUGGUUAGCACGUCGGCUUCACAGCGCAGAGGUACCGGGUUCGAUUCCAGCUCCGGCCUCCCUGUGUGGAGUUUGCAUGUUCUCCCCGGGCCUGCGUGGGUUUUCUCCGGGUGCUCCGGUUUCCUCCCACAUUCCAAAAACAUGAGUGGCAGGCUGAUUGGACGCUCUAAAUUGUCCCUAGGUGUGAGUGAGGUUGCGAAUGGUUGUUCGUUUCUGUGUGCCCUGCGAUUGGCUGGCAACCGAUUCAGGGUGUCCCCCGCCUACUGCCC